GAUGAACGCUGGCGGCGUGCCUAAUACAUGCAAGUCGAGCGAACAGACGAGGAGCUUGCUCCUCUGACGUUAGCGGCGGACGGGUGAGUAACACGUGGAUAACCUACCUAUAAGACUGGGAUAACUUCGGGAAACCGGAGCUAAUACCGGAUAAUAUAUUGAACCGCAUGGUUCAAUAGUGAAAGACGGUUUUGCUGUCACUUAUAGAUGGAUCCGCGCCGCAUUAGCUAGUUGGUAAGGUAACGGCUUACCAAGGCGACGAUGCAUAGCCGACCUGAGAGGGUGAUCGGCCACACUGGAACUGAGACACGGUCCAGACUCCUACGGGAGGCAGCAGUAGGGAAUCUUCCGCAAUGGGCGAAAGCCUGACGGAGCAACGCCGCGUGAGUGAUGAAGGUCUUCGGAUCGUAAAACUCUGUUAUUAGGGAAGAACAAAUGUGUAAGUAACUAUGCACGUCUUGACGGUACCUAAUCAGAAAGCCACGGCUAACUACGUG
This 497-nucleotide ribosomal RNA is filed under the name uncultured bacterium. Its description in RNAcentral is "partial 16S ribosomal RNA". It matches the Rfam family "Bacterial small subunit ribosomal RNA", at positions 28 to 507 of the family's 1533-position model. The record is from RNAcentral.